AGAGUUUGAUCAUGGCUCAGGAUGAACGCUAGCGGCAGGCUUAAUACAUGCAAGUCGAACGGGAUUCGGUGUAGCAAUACAUUGAUGAGAGUGGCGCACGGGUGCGUAACGCGUAUGCAACCUACCUUUAACAGGUGAAUAGCCCCGAGAAAUCGGGAUUAAUACACCGUAACAUUGCGGGAUGGCAUCAUUCUGCAAUUAAAGAUUUAUCGGUUAAAGAUGGGCAUGCGUGACAUUAGCUAGUUGGUGAGGUAACGGCUCACCAAGGCGACGAUGUCUAGGGGUCCUGAGAGGGUUAUCCCCCACACUGGUACUGAGACACGGACCAGACUCCUACGGGAGGCAGCAGUAAGGAAUAUUGGUCAAUGGGCGCAAGCCUGAACCAGCCAUGCCGCGUGCAGGAAGACGGCCCUAUGGGUUGUAAACUGCUUUUGUCAGGGAAUAAACCUGUCUACGAGUAGGCAGCUGAAGGUACCUGAAGAAUAAGCAUCGGCUAACUCCGUGCCAGCAGCCGCGGUAAUACGGAGGAUGCAAGCGUUAUCCGGAUUCAUUGGGUUUAAAGGGUGCGCAGGCGGAUUGAUAAGUCAGGGGUGAAAUCCCACAGCUCAACUGUGGAACUGCCCUUGAUACUGUUAGUCUAGAGUAUAGUUGAAGUUGGCGGAAUGUGUCAUGUAGCGGUGAAAUGCUUAGAUAUGACACAGAACACCGAUCGCGAAGGCAGCUAGCUAAGCUAUAACUGACGCUCAUGCACGAAAGCGUGGGGAUCAAACAGGAUUAGAUACCCCGGUAGU
Molecule: ribosomal RNA, 791 nt
Filed under: uncultured bacterium
Lineage: Bacteria
Description: bacterial SSU rRNA
Rfam family: Bacterial small subunit ribosomal RNA
Source: RNAcentral